GCCAGCGUGGUGUAAUGGUUUGAGCAUUGGACUAGCCCUCCAGAGACUAGGGUUCAAUUCCCAGCUUGGUCA
Non-coding RNA from Phrynosoma platyrhinos (Desert horned lizard), 72 nucleotides. The record is from the annotation of a GenBank genome assembly. NCBI's taxonomy places the organism in Eukaryota, Metazoa, Chordata, Lepidosauria, Squamata, Phrynosomatidae.